GUCCAAUUACAAGAUAUACCAUGGAUAUAUCUAAAAUAUACACUGAGUAUACACCAAAAUGUACAAGGCUAUACAAUGCUAAAUCAUGUAUUUUCUCUUAUCUCAACACCCCCCCUCAAUAUACACUAAGUAUACACAAAAUGUACAAGGCUAUAUAAUGCUAAAUCAUGUAUUUUCUCUUAUCUCAACACCCUCCCUCAAGUUGAAGGGGGAUACCACCUGCAACUUGAGCAACAAGGGAUGAAAGAUGGUGCCUGGCAAAGGCUUGGUCAGAAGGUCGGCGAGCUGGCGAGUGGUAGGAACAUGGAACAGUUGAAUAAGGCUAUUCUGGAGCAGAUCACGCACAAAAUGACAAUCCACUUCAAUGUGUUUAGUCCAUUCAUGAAAAACUAGAUUUUUGGCAAUGUGAAUGGCUGCCUGGAUGUCACAAUAUACAGAAAAAGGAAGAGAGACAGAAACACCAAGAUCAAGAAAUAAACGAGACAACCAGGAUAGUUCAGCAACAACCUUACUUAGGGGCCUGUAUUCAGCCUCAGCAGAAGACAAAGAGACCACUGGUUGCUUCUUAGAUUUCCAACUAAUCAAAGAGCCACCCAAAAUAAUACAGAACCCAGUAACAGACCUCCUCGUAUCAGGGCAAGCAGCCCAGUCACUAUCAGAGUAACCAACAACAUUGAAAUCAUUGCAAUCAGAAUAAAAGAGACCCAUAGAAGAAGUCCCCUUAAGAUAUCGCAGGACAUGAAGAGCAGCCGUCAUAUGAGGGAGUCUGGGGUAUUUGAGGAAUUGACUCAGAUGUUGCACAGCAAAACAGAUGUCAGGCCUAGUAUGGGUCAGAAAUAAGAGCUUACCAACAAGACUCCUAUGCUGAUCAGGAGAAGGUAAAAGGUCACCAGAAUCAGCAUGUAAUUUUGCAUUAAUGUCCAAAGGACAGACAACAGAAGAGACGUUGACACAGUCAAACUGUUGCAGCAAAUCACAAAUAUAUUUGUGCUGAUUAAGGAUCAUCCCACCAGGAACAGAUGACAUCUGCAUGCCUAAAAAUUAAUGUAGGGAACCUAGGUCCUUAAUUUUAAACUGAUCAUCCAGAAACAACUACAGAGCAGCAAUUUCAUCACAGUCAUCCCCAGUAAGAAUAAUAUCAUCCACAUAAACAGCCACAAUCUUAAGGGACCCAGGUGUACCUUUGAUGAACAGGGAAUAAUCAUUCAAAGAAUGCCUAUAGCCUCUGGAGUAUAGGGCAGAAGACAACUUGGCAUACCAUUGUCUGGAAGCCUGUCUGAGCCCAUAUAGGGAUCAUUCAAAGAAUGCCUAUAGCCUCUGGAGUAUAGGGCAGAAGACAACUUGGCAUACCAUUGUCUGGAAGCCUGUCUGAGCCCAUUAGGGAUUUGUUUAACUUGCAAACAAGGGGAGCAGGAGAGGCAAGUGGGGCAGAAACAGAGACAGGAGCAGAAACAGUUAAACUUGGAGGAAGUUUCAUAUACACCUCCUCAUCCAAAUCACCAUGCAAGAAAGCAUUAUUAACAUCAAGUUGAAAUAAAUUCCAAUGAUUUUUCACAGCCACAGCAAUAAGACACUUAACAGUGCACAUUUUAACCACAGGGGAAAAGGUGUCAGUGAAUACCAUUGUCUGGAAGCCUGUCUGAGCCCAUAGAGGGAUUUGUUUAACUUGCAAACAAGGGAAGCAGGAGAGGCAGAGGGGGCAGAAACAGAUGCAGGAGCAGAAACAGUUAAACUUGGAGGAAGUUUCAUAUACACCUCCUCAUCCAAAUCACCAUGCAAGAAAGCAUUAUUAACAUCAAGUUGAAAUAAAUUCCAAUGAUUUUUCACAGUCACAACAAUAAGACACUUGACAGUGCACAUUUUAACCACAUGGGAAAAGGUGUCAGUGAAGUCAAUACCUUCAACCUGAGUAUCACCUCUAAUAACAAGUCUGG
This 1934-nucleotide long non-coding RNA is filed under the name Nicotiana benthamiana. RNAcentral's name for it is "long non-coding RNA (NBEN_LNC024642)". The record is from RNAcentral. Lineage: Eukaryota; Viridiplantae; Streptophyta; Magnoliopsida; Solanales; Solanaceae.